This is a long non-coding RNA of Etheostoma cragini (Arkansas darter), 306 nucleotides long. RefSeq lists it as uncharacterized. The record is from RefSeq and is a predicted model, not a curated record. Lineage: Eukaryota; Metazoa; Chordata; Actinopteri; Perciformes; Percidae. The transcript has 4 exons.
UUAGUUUUCAGACAAUUACAAAAAACAAUUUUAUUUGAAAUGAGUAGAAAUGACAAUAAGAAACCUGUCAGUCUCAUGUUUCAUGUUGGCGUCUGCACAUGUCGUCAGAUGCAAUUCAUGAAGAACAAGUUUGGAGAUGAGUAAAACUACCAAAUACAGAUUAUUCUAACCUUUAAACUGCAAGAAUCAGUUAUUGCUCUCAGUUCCAAGUUGUAGUUUUCACCUGUAGACAGAGGUUGCACAUCUGUAACCUCAUGGUUAAAGAUAAAAAUUGACAGCAAAUCUACAUUAUCUAAUUAAACUGAG